This 381-nucleotide unclassified non-coding RNA is filed under the name Hevea brasiliensis (rubber tree). Lineage: Eukaryota; Viridiplantae; Streptophyta; Magnoliopsida; Malpighiales; Euphorbiaceae. The record is from RNAcentral.
GAGACACAUGGAUUAUAGUCUAGCAGCGCUGAAGCUGCUGUGCGUGCAACUGAAAGACGCCCGCGAAACCCCUUCUCAGAACGCAUUGACUCUUGGCGGUAUUCUCUUCCAACGCGCAUGGCUGCAGGGCAUUNNNNUGGCGACGGCUGUCUGCUCCUUGAUGAUGGCACCGGUGUCAUCCAGCUUUCUCUUUCCGGCGACUUCCGUCUCCGCCGCUGGGAUAUAGGGAUGUAUGUGAUGGUAAUUGGUGGGUAUUUUGUUGGUACGGGUGAGAGUCCCAUGAUUAAGGUUCAUAAGAUUGUUGAUCUAUCACCAUUUCCAGAUCGAGAAGCCAUGUGGUAUCUUGAAGUAAUGGAGGCAUAUAAAUUGUUCUACCAGCCC